This 117-nucleotide ribosomal RNA is filed under the name Clostridiaceae bacterium. Lineage: Bacteria; Bacillati; Bacillota; Clostridia; Eubacteriales; Clostridiaceae. The record is from RNAcentral.
UCCGGUGAAAAUAACGCGGAGGCCACACCUGUUCCCAUCCCGAACACAGAAGUUAAGCUCCGUAGUGCCGAUGAUACUUGGCUGGUGACGGCCCGGAAAAGUAGGUCUUCGCCGGAU